RNAcentral lists this unclassified non-coding RNA (1179 nucleotides) under Rhopalosiphum maidis (corn leaf aphid). RNAcentral's name for it is "rNA-binding protein 1-like, transcript variant X1". The record is from RNAcentral. Lineage: Eukaryota; Metazoa; Arthropoda; Insecta; Hemiptera; Aphididae.
UCGUCGUUCUCUACUAUUGCAGCACCUACGACCACAGCAAACGGGGUCCUCUACUCCGUCUAGCUGUUAAUGACACGGUCGCUGCCUUAGCGUUUUCCCGUUUUGUCAUUCGUUGUUAUUAGUUAUUCUUUUAGUUUUUUCCCCCCUCGUAGUCUACGCUGACGACUAUAUCGCGUCAGGUUUACUCAACGUCACGUAACAAAACAUUACUGGUUUUUUAAAUUUUUAAGUUUUCACUAUUUCUCAUUCUGAUUUUUGUUGCCGUAGCAGAAACACAAGCAAGUGUACCUACGCCGCCCACACGAUUCGCCAAUUCAUUUUUAAAUUCAAGACUUAAAGCAACAUGUCUCAUCGUGACUGGGAUCAAUCAUGCAAAGUGUACAUUGGUAAUUUGGGUCAAAAUGGUACUAAACAUGAAAUUGAAGCAUCAUUCACAAAAUAUGGUCCGUUGAAAAAUACUUGGAUUGCUAGGAAUCCACCUGGUUUUGCUUUUGUUGAAUUUGAAGAUCCUAGAGAUGCCGAAGAUGCAGUCAGGGGACUUGACGGAACCCGUAUCUGUGGAGUUCGUGUACGUGUUGAAAUGUCUAGUAACCGACCUCGUGGUGGACGUGAUGGUCGUGGUGGUGGAGGAGGAGGUGAUCGCAGAGGUGGUGGUGGUGGUGGAGGAGGUGGUGGAUACAACAGAGGUCCUCCACGCUACAAUGAUAGGAAAAGGAUCAUUGGUUAUCGCCCAUACUAAAAAUUUAUCAUCCCAUCUUAUAAAAAAAACCUCACACUGACAAUAUGACUUGACCAACAAUUUUCGUACUUCGCUCCACCAAUUCUACUGAAUUGAAAUACCGUAACGUGUUAUUUAACAUCAUGCGGGCGGAAACAGCCUAUUCUACACUAUUCUACAAUAUUCUUCCAACGCCUCUACCCUACGAUCAACUCUUCACAAGCACUCGUAUGCUUUCUUGGCUGUUUUAACGUCUCCACUCACACUCUCCAUCUAAACAACAUAUGGUAUUAUUUAUUCUUUCAUUGAAAAUUGAGAGUUGUAAGUUAAAAGAUCACGAUCGCGAUCUCCCAAACGUCGUGCACCGCCAUCACGGUCACGUUCAAGGAGCUACUCACCAAGACAGCGUCGUACGUCACAUUCCUAAGAUAACAAUUUUAAACAGCGAUGAUACAGGUUUC